CCGUGCUAGGCGGGAAAUUAGCGGUGUCCUGUACUCGCAAUCCGCUCUAGCGAGGCUGAAUCCCCUCCCGAGGGGUGACUGCCUCGGGGCCAGCCCGCCGUCGCGGCGCUGAUGGCCCGGGUCCCCGCGCGAUAUCGGCCCGUGAACCAGGUCAGGUCCGGAAGGAAGCAGCCUUAAGCGGUCACCGGUAGGCGCAGCGGGAGAUCCCGGACCGGAGCCGUUGACGGCGCAAGCGCCCGGGGCAGCCGCCUCGACGGAGGGUGCACGG
RNAcentral lists this signal recognition particle RNA (268 nucleotides) under Actinomycetota bacterium. RNAcentral describes it as "signal recognition particle sRNA large type". It matches the Rfam family "Bacterial large signal recognition particle RNA". Rfam says of the family: The signal recognition particle (SRP) is a universally conserved ribonucleoprotein involved in the co-translational targeting of proteins to membranes. Archaeal SRP consists of a 7S RNA and homologues of the eukaryotic SRP19 and SRP54 proteins. In most bacteria, the SRP consists of a 4.5S RNA and the Ffh protein (a homologue of the eukaryotic SRP54 protein). Lineage: Bacteria; Bacillati; Actinomycetota. The record is from RNAcentral.